RNAcentral lists this ribosomal RNA (722 nucleotides) under uncultured Fusobacterium sp. Its description in RNAcentral is "bacterial SSU rRNA". It matches the Rfam family "Bacterial small subunit ribosomal RNA", at positions 28 to 776 of the family's 1533-position model. Lineage: Bacteria; Fusobacteriati; Fusobacteriota; Fusobacteriia; Fusobacteriales; Fusobacteriaceae. The record is from RNAcentral.
GAUGAACGCUGACAGAAUGCUUAACACAUGCAAGUCUACUUGAACUUCGGUUUGGGUGGCGGACGGGUGAGUAACGCGUAAAGAACUUGCCUCACAGUUAGGGACAACAUUUGGAAACGAAUGCUAAUACCUGAUAUUAUGAUUUUAGGGCAUCCUAAGAUUAUGAAAGCUAUAUGCGCUGUGAGAGAGCUUUGCGUCCCAUUAGCUAGUUGGAGAGGUAACGGCUCACCAAGGCGAUGAUGGGUAGCCGGCCUGAGAGGGUGAACGGCCACAAGGGGACUGAGACACGGCCCCUACUCCUACGGGAGGCAGCAGUGGGGAAUAUUGGACAAUGGACCAAAAGUCUGAUCCAGCAAUUCUGUGUGCACGAUGACGUUUUUCGGAAUGUAAAGUGCUUUCAGUUGGGAAGAAAAAAAUGACGGUACCAACAGAAGAAGUGACGGCUAAAUACGUGCCAGCAGCCGCGGUAAUACGUAUGUCACAAGCGUUAUCCGGAUUUAUUGGGCGUAAAGCGCGUCUAGGUGGUUAUGUAAGUCUGAUGUGAAAAUGCAGGGCUCAACUCUGUAUUGCGUUGGAAACUGCAUGACUAGAGUACUGGAGAGGUAAGCGGAACUACAAGUGUAGAGGUGAAAUUCGUAGAUAUUUGUAGGAAUGCCGAUGGGGAAGCCAGCUUACUGGACAGAUACUGACGCUAAAGCGCGAAAGCGUGGGUAGCAAACAGG